This 4258-nucleotide long non-coding RNA is filed under the name Podarcis lilfordi (Lilford's wall lizard). The record is from RNAcentral. Lineage: Eukaryota; Metazoa; Chordata; Lepidosauria; Squamata; Lacertidae.
CCAUUGGCGAGCCUCCACUUCCUAUGAAACUUCUCGCGAGAACCAACAUUUUUCCAGACACCUUCAUCAAUGCCAGUUGUUGGGAAUCACAAGUGGGGAGAGUGCUGUUAUGCUCAAGUCCUGCUUGUGGGCUUCCCAACCGUGAUCGAAAUUCCCCGGGUACUGGGUGAGUUUUGCUACUGGCAUGGGACCAACUACGACUGCGCAGUUUUCUGGGCACCAGGUUGGCAACUGACAUCUCCAUCGAGCCAGCUGAUUCGCACGCGGUCCAUCAUCACAUUAAGGAAAGUAAGUGCAGGGCAAAGGACAGAUAUAAUGGGCUGUGCUGCAACCUUUCCACAGGCCACCCCAAUGGAACUAACAAGACACAGUUCAAAAACUUCUGCCUUAGCCCAUAGUUAACACCAUUUCCACUUCCACUCUGUGUGUGUUUCUCAUUCUUGCAUACUGGGGCAAGUGAAUUGCUGUAAGAGCAAGCUACAAUUGAGCAAUGUAGCGGAGAUCAUAGAAUCAUAGAAUUCACAGACAUGCCAUUGUGGUGACCAUAACCUAGGACUGGGGUCAGCAAACGGCGAGGCUUCCUAUCAAAGCCCAGCCCCCUUCCUCCACAGGGCGGAGAGAAGUCAGGAAGAGGGAGGGAGGAGACACCACAGCAGGGAGGGAGGGAGCUGUUCGCGGGCCAGAUCCAGAGGGCAAUUGGGCUGGAUCCGGCCCACAGGCCUUAGUUUGCCGAACCCUGACCUAGCUUAUAUGUCUGAGUUUCUAACACUGUCCAUAGGCAUCUUGUUGGCCAUUGUGAGAAUAGAAUGCUGGACGAGAUGGACCUUUGGCCUGAGAGGGUAGAUUCUUGAUUGUUCCUUUGCAGCCACAUCUUUACUCUCGCCACAUCUGACACCACAUCAGAUGUGGGACAGGUGGGUGUGAUUUGGAGGAAACUACAUCCCUGGCAUAAUUAGCUGAGAGGGUCAGGGCUUUCCCCACUGCUGCUCUCAAGCAGAACACCGUCUACUGAAGGAACCCCAGUCAAAUGCAUGCCUAUGCCCUCACAGAAACCUCUAAACAAGGUUACCUAACCACUCCUGAGGCAAGACAGUCCACCUGUUCUGAAGGUGGAGCUACUCCUACUGUUUAAACAUUGAGAUCUACUUUAAAGUUUCAGAUCCCUUAUGGGCCUUGAGCUCUCCAGGGUUAAGGAAAGAGGUAUUUCCCAUUAUGUGUUAGCAAAUCCUUUUAAACUGGGGAGGGGCCAGGGAUUGAACCUGGGAACUUAUGGCUCCAAAGCAUGCAGUAAAUGCAGCUCUGGUUGAUAUUCUGAUAUGCUACCAGGCAGGCUGGUGGAAAAUUGAAGCUUCUCUCCACCCUAGAGAUGGGAAAACCCAAAUCUUCAACUUCCUGCAUCUUGGUUUGCUUGUAGCAGCAGCAGCAGCAUUUCAAUAUUAAACACAGAAAAAUCAAUUACAGUACAAAAAUAAUUAUACAAACAGAAAGCCCCAUUACAAUUGGCAACUGCACCAAAAAAAUAGUGUCUCACUAUGCCUGCUUGGAGGGUGGUAAUUGUUAACUAAGGCUAAUGUUCUAUGCUCACAUAAUUCACCUAUUUGUAAAGACUUUUGGCAAAGGUUUGCCAUUUUCAGAUUUGUUUGUUAAAGUUAUGGAGUUCCACCAAUCUGCUGAAAACGUCUUCUUCUUCUCCUGACCUCUCGCCAUAUGCAAACUCUGCACUGUUUUCUCAGUGAGAGCUAAUUCUCAGACGUUUUAGCACAUCUUGGUUUGUUACUGACCCCAAUGAAGACACCAGUUAGCUCAAAUCCAGCAGAUUUGUCAACAUCCAAUUUCAGGAAAGGAUGCACAACAUACAGAUACAACACUAAAACAAGAGCAAAGUGACCACAGCAUUGGAAUUUAAGAAACGGCUGUUACAGGCUGUUAACAAGCUUCAAAAUGCUUGUUUAAAUGACAUUGUGAAUAACAAACAACUGGUCAACCAUGUGUUUAGUUCCUGAGCAAAGUGGCCUUUGCGAUCUUCUCUUUGUUCUAAGGAGGUUCUUCCAAGAAAUCAGCCUCAAGAUAAAGAUUCUUCAGUGGUUUCAAACAUUCUCCAUUUUUUACAACAAAAAGGCUCUUGAGAAGCAAGCAGGUCUUGCUCAGAGCAGCCAUCUUAGCCUGCCAUUUUUUGUUCCACCUAUUGGCAUAUUAAAGUCAGCUGCCUUCAGCUGCUAGGUAAGAGCUGUACGCAGACCUAAGCUACCAGCCCCACCUUCAGCCAGCUGAAACUGAGCAUCUGAAAUUAUCAUUCUGUGUAUUCCCUGCAUUCAAAAGGGGACUCUCUGGUGUGCAAUUACUGCAGCAGAAUUGUAUUCUGUUCAUCUAGGAUUCAACUGAGUCCGAGGGUUUAUUUUCCAUUAAAGGUGGGAAAUUUAGACGAUUGUGCGAUCGCCAAUUGCAAUUACCGUUGGCAACUGUUUUUAUCUCACAUGCAUUUGAACUUUUGAGAAUAUCAGACUAUAUACCCUCUUGCAUUUUCGCGGGGGUGGGGAGUAUUGUGCAUAUAUCAUUAUGCAACUAGAAAGGUUUAUCAAAAAAGAAAUAGAGAAAUUAAACAUAUUAAAAAUGCAGACAUUAAGACUGCUAAGAGAAAUUAAGAAAGUUAAUUAAAAAAAUUCAACAAGCAGUAACAAUAAAUAAAAAUUAUUCUAAAUUAAGUUUAACCUUGCAGUAUUAAGUCCUGGUAUUCAUUAUAUGAAUUGCUACAGCAGACCAUGCUUAAUUUAAUUUUGUGGUAGACUUUUGAUAAGUAGUGAUUUUAAAAACAAGUGCAGGUAUCUUCCCCCUUUGUGAGAGUGCUUUUGUUGUGGUUGCACCUUUCAGCAUCUAGCAAAAAUUACUGCUUCUGCCAUAAUGAAAUACUGCCUAACACUGAUUUUCUGAAAUAACAUUUUUGGGUUGAUUGGUCAUUGGACAUUAAGCAUUUCUUAAAUACUAGUAGCUUUGGUAUCUUGUACCUAUUGCAUGCACUGUGGUUUUUUAUUUGUUUGUCUGUUGUUUUAUUAAGACAUUUCUAUACUGUCCUUUCUCAAAAGGCCACAGGGUGCUUUACAACACAAAAACAACAUGACAAUACAAGAACGUUAAAGCAAUUAUUUCGUUAAAACUCCUAACAAAAGCAGCUGCAACAAAAGUAUUCACAAAUUGCUACUGUCCCUGUUCCCUCGAUAUUAAAUUUAUAUCCCGCCCUUCCUCCCAAAGGAGCCCAGAGCAGCAACCAACAAGUGAUAAAACAAUAAAAAUGUCUUUAAAACAAUUCCAGUAUAGAUGCAGACGGGGAAAGAUUUCCACUUAAAAGCCUUGUAGGAAAACAGAGGUCUUCAGUAGGCAAUAGACAGGCAGCAGACAGCCGGUCUAAUAUUCACAGGGAGGGAAUUCCAGUGGUCCAGUUCCAAGACACUAAAGGCCAAUUGCUAUAUUGUGCAGAAUGGACCUCCUGAUAAAAUGGCAUCUACAGGCAGUGGCAUAGCAUAGAUUGCUAGUGCCCGGGACAAGGAAAGUAUGGCGCUCCUUAACCAGCACCUCCAUGUGGCGCUGCCGCCACCACUGUGCGCAGCUGCAGAGCAGCCGCGGGACAUGCAUGUGCCCCUCCUUGGGCUGGGGUGCAGCCACCACCACUCCCUUCAGGCAUUGACCUGAGCCAGACUUCCUUUGCUUCAACAAGGUGGCUGUAUUGUGGGCAUCAAAACCAUGCCCUGGGAACUGAUCGCAUCUUACGCUCAGGUUUCUGCCACAAACAAGGAAUAUUACCUUGCUAGGACCCGGUUCCAUAACACCUCGUUUCAAAACCAUUAGUAGAGUGGAAGCACAGAAUCCGACACAACAUCAAUUACGUUUUUUAUUGAACACAAGGUGACCAGGGAGAGAUGCCAAGGGGACAGAUGUCAUUCACAGGAGUCAUCUACAAUCACCCAGAGGAUUUAAAAAAAAAAAAUUAGAGGGAGAAGAAACCAGGAACCUCUCAACCUCCCACAGUGGUGGCAGCUGUGUCCAAAGGAUGCGGAUCCCCACUGCUCUUUCAGCCACUGCCAAAGAGGGCCCUCACUUCAUCCUGAAACAGAGGGCGGUGUUGCAGUGAGACGUCCUCCCUCGCCAAAGAAUAAAAGCCGCUUGCUUGCUGUGUCAACCAAUUAAGUUUAGAGACGUGGGCAAUAAAUAUUUAAAGAGGACCCCUUUCUUCCGGAGCCACAGGCUGUCUGAAUCUACUUUCCGC